RNAcentral lists this non-coding RNA (22 nucleotides) under Rattus norvegicus (Norway rat). Lineage: Eukaryota; Metazoa; Chordata; Mammalia; Rodentia; Muridae. The record is from RNAcentral.
UCGGGAAUUUUCUUGGUGCUAU